This 440-nucleotide ribosomal RNA is filed under the name uncultured bacterium. RNAcentral describes it as "partial 16S ribosomal RNA". It matches the Rfam family "Bacterial small subunit ribosomal RNA", at positions 338 to 795 of the family's 1533-position model. The record is from RNAcentral.
CCUACGGGUGGCAGCAGUGGGGAAUAUUGCACAAUGGGGGAAACCCUGAUGCAGCGACGCCGCGUGAGUGAAGAAGGAAUUCGUUAUGUAAAGCUCUAUCAGCAGGGAAGAAAAUGACGGUACCUGAGUAAGAAGCACCGGCUAACUACGUGCCAGCAGCCGCGGUAAUACGUAGGGGGCAAGCGCUAUCCCGAUUUGCUGGGUGGAAAGGGUGCGCAGACGGCAGUGCAAGUCUGGAGGGAAAGGCGGGGGCGCAACCCCCGGAAUGCUCUGGAAACUGUACGGCUGGAGUGCAGGAGAGGAGAGUGGAAUUCCUAGUGUAGCGGUGAAAUGUGUAGAUAUUAGGAGGAACACCAGUGGCGAAGGCGGCUUACUGGACUGUAACUGACGUUGAGGCUCGAAAGCGUGGGGAGCAAACAGGAUUAGAUACCCGGGUAGUC